CACAGUGUAGCAAUACAUGGGUGGCGACCGGCAAACGGGUGCGGAACACGUACGCAACCUUCCUUCAGGCGGGGAAUAGCCCAGAGAAAUUUGGAUUAAUACCCCAUAAUAUUUUGAGAUGGCAUCAUCUUAUUAUUAAAGCUACGGCACCUGGAGAUGGGCGUGCGGCUGAUUAGGUAGUUGGCGGGGUAAUGGCCCACCAAGCCUACGAUCAGUAGCUGAUGUGAGAGCAUGAUCAGCCACACGGGCACUGAGACACGGGCCCGACUCCUACGGGAGGCAGCAGUAAGGAAUAUUGGUCAAUGGACGCAAGUCUGAACCAGCCAUGCCGCGUGGAGGAUGAAGGUCCUCUGGAUUGUAAACUUCUUUUAUCUGGGACGAAAAAAGGGUUUUCUAACUCGUCUGACGGUACCAGAUGAAUAAGCACCGGCUAACUCCGUGCCAGCAGCCGCGGUAAUACGGAGGGUGCAAGCGUUAUCCGGAUUCACUGGGUUUAAAGGGUGCGUAGGCGGGCAUUUAAGUCAGUGGUGAAAUACCUGAGCUUAACUUGGGAACUGCCAUUGAUACUAUUUGUCUUGAAUGUCGUGGAGGUUAGCGGAAUAUGUCAUGUAGCGGUGAAAUGCUUAGAUAUGACAUAGAACACCUAUUGCGAAGGCAGCUAACUACGCGAAUAUUGACGCUGAGGCACGAAAGCGUGGGGAUCAAACAGGAUUAGAUACCCUGGUAGUCCACGCCCUAAACGAUGAUUACUCGACAUUAGCGAUACACUGUUAGUGUCUGAG
RNAcentral lists this ribosomal RNA (782 nucleotides) under uncultured bacterium. RNAcentral describes it as "SSU rRNA". It matches the Rfam family "Bacterial small subunit ribosomal RNA", at positions 70 to 851 of the family's 1533-position model. The record is from RNAcentral.